This 548-nucleotide ribosomal RNA is filed under the name uncultured Glomus. RNAcentral's name for it is "SSU rRNA". It matches the Rfam family "Eukaryotic small subunit ribosomal RNA", at positions 548 to 1098 of the family's 1831-position model. Lineage: Eukaryota; Fungi; Glomeromycota; Glomeromycetes; Glomerales; Glomeraceae. The record is from RNAcentral.
UUGGAGGGCAAGUCUGGUGCCAGCAGCCGCGGUAAUUCCAGCUCCAAUAGCGUAUAUUAAAGUUGCCGCAGUUAAAAAGCUCGUAGUUGAAUUUCGGGACCAAUAUGUCGGUCGUGCCUCGGUACGUACUGGCAUCGUUGGUUUCUCCCUUCUGACGAACCAUGAUGUCAUUUAUUUGGUGUCGUGGGGAAUCAGGACUGUUACUUUGAAAAAAUUAGAGUGUUUAAAGCAGGCACACGCUUGAAUACAUUAGCAUGGAAUAAUGAAAUAGGACGUUUGAUUCUAUUUUGUUGGUUUCUAGGAUCGACGUAAUGAUUAAUAGGGAUAGUUGGGGGCAUUAGUAUUCAAUUGUCAGAGGUGAAAUUCUUGGAUUUAUUGAAGACUAACUACUGCGAAAGCAUUUGCCAAGGAUGUUUUCAUUAAUCAAGAACGAAAGUUAGGGGAUCGAAGACGAUCAGAUACCGUCGUAGUCUUAACCAUAAACUAUGCCGACUAGGGAUCGGAUGAUGUUAAUUUUUUAAUGACUCAUUCGGCACCUUACGGGAAAC